This 253-nucleotide ribosomal RNA is filed under the name uncultured bacterium. Its description in RNAcentral is "partial 16S ribosomal RNA". It matches the Rfam family "Bacterial small subunit ribosomal RNA", at positions 524 to 776 of the family's 1533-position model. The record is from RNAcentral.
UACAGAGGUCUCAAGCGUUGUUCGGAUUCAUUGGGCGUAAAGGGCGCGUAGGCGGCGCGGUAAGUCACUUGUGAAAUCUCUGAGCUUAACUCAGAACGGCCAAGUGAUACUGCAGUGCUAGAGUGUGGAAGGGGCAAUCGGAAUUCUUGGUGUAGCGGUGAAAUGCGUAGAUAUCAAGAGGAACACCGGAGGUGAAGACGGGUUGCUGGGCCAACACUGACGCUGAGGCGCGCAAGCCAGGGGAGCAAACGGG